Molecule: ribosomal RNA, 497 nt
Filed under: uncultured bacterium
Lineage: Bacteria
Description: partial 16S ribosomal RNA
Rfam family: Bacterial small subunit ribosomal RNA
Source: RNAcentral
GGCGAACGCUGGCGGCGUGCCUAAUACAUGCAAGUUGAGCGCUGAAGGUUGGUACUUGUACCAACUGGAUGAGCAGCGAACGGGUGAGUAACGCGUGGGGAAUCUGCCUUUGAGCGGGGGACAACAUUUGGAAACGAGUGCUAAUACCGCAUAAAAACUUUAAACACAAGUUUUAAGUUUGAAAGAUGCAAUUGCAUCACUCAAAGAUGAUCCCGCGUUGUAUUAGCUAGUUGGUGAGGUAAAGGCUCACCAAGGCGAUGAUACAUAGCCGACCUGAGAGGGUGAUCGGCCACAUUGGGACUGAGACACGGCCCAAACUCCUACGGGAGGCAGCAGUAGGGAAUCUUCGGCAAUGGACGAAAGUCUGACCGAGCAACGCCGCGUGAGUGAAGAAGGUUUUCGGAUCGUAAAACUCUGUUGGUAGAGAAGAACGUUGGUGAGAGUGGAAAGCUCAUCAAGUGACGGUAACUACCCAGAAAGGGACGGCUAACUACGUG